AUGAGGGACCUUCUUCACAUCAGCCAUCCCCAUGGCCAUGGGAGGAGCAGCAGCAGAUUCUUCGUCGUCGCCGUCGUGUCCCUCACGCUCGUUGCAGCUCUUCUCGCGGCUUUCAACAUGCUGACCACGACGAGGAUCCCAGCUGACCGGCGGCCGCUUGGUUCUCAGUCUCACACGUCAGCCCGGCGAGGCGAGGGCUGUGACAUUUUCCGGGGCGACUGGGUGCCGGACCUGGACGCGCCCUACUACACCAACGACACCUGCCCCCCGGGGAUCAUCGACGAGCACUACGACUGCAUGAGGUUCGGCAGGCCGGACCUGGGCUUCCUCCAGUGGCGGUGGCAGCCCGCCGGCGACGGCUGCGACCUGCCCCGCUUCGACCCCCGCCGCUUCCUGGCCUUGAUGAGGGGCAAGACCAUCGCCUUCGUCGGGGACUCGCUGGCCAGGAACCACAAGGACUCUCUCAUCUGCCUCCUCACCAGAGUCGCGAUGCCUACCAUAAGCUCGCCGAGAGAGAAGCACACGGUGUACUACUACAGGGAGUACAACUUCACGGUGGCCAGCUUCUGGGUGCCGUACCUGGUGCGGCACGAGAUGAUCGAAGACGACGGGCCGAUGCACACGGGCCUCUGGAACCUCUACCUGGACGAGCCGGAGGAGGUGUGGGCGACGCAUGUGGCGGAGCUCGACUACGUGGUGGUGUCGGCGUCGAGCUGGUUCUACCGCCCGUCCAUGCUGUACGAGGCCGGGCAGCUCGUCGGGUGCCACUACUGCCAGCGGCCCAACGUGACGGACCUGACAAUGCGGUACGCGCUGCGCAUGGCCACGCGGGCCGCGUUGCGGGCGCUCUCCGGCGCCGACGGCCGGUUCCGCGGCACGGUGCUGCUGCGCACCGUCGACCCGUCGCACUAUGAGGGCGGGGAGUGGAACAAGGACGGCAACUGCCUUCGGAGGGCGCCGCACCGACGCGGGGAGAAGAUGGUCGAGGGCUUCGAGCUCGACUUCCGCGCGCUGCAGGUGGAGUUUGCGGCGGCGGAGAGGGCGGCGGCCGGCGGGGUGAGGGUGAUGCUGAUGGACACGACGGAGGCGAUGAUCCUGCGCGCGGACGCGCAUCCCAGCAAGUACCGCGCCUGGACGCCCGACCCGCUCAUGAAAAACCAGGUGUACAGCGACUGCGUGCACUGGUGCCUUCCGGGGGCCAUUGAUACAUGGAACGACAUGCUGCUCCAUAUGCUGCUCAACGAGUGA
This 1248-nucleotide ribosomal RNA is filed under the name Triticum aestivum (bread wheat). Its description in RNAcentral is "partial small subunit ribosomal RNA". Lineage: Eukaryota; Viridiplantae; Streptophyta; Magnoliopsida; Poales; Poaceae. The record is from RNAcentral.